AGAGUUUGAUCAUGGCUCAGGAUGAAUGCUGGCGGUAUGGGUAAGGCAUGCAAGUCGAGGGCACCGCAAGGUGACCGGCAGACGAGGUAGUAACACGUAGGAACGUACCCCGAAGUCAGGGAUAGCUAGCCGAAAGGUUAGGUAAUACUUGAUGGUCUCGCGAGAGUAAAGAUUUAUCGCUUCGGGAGCGGCCUGCGCAAUAUCAGCUAGUUGGUAGGGUAACGGCCUACCAAGGCUACGACGUUUAGGGGAGCUGAGAGGCUGACCCCCACCGAUGGGACUGAGAUACGGCCCAUACUCCUACGGGAGGCCGCAGUCGAGAAUCUUCCGCAAUGGACGCAAGUCUGACGGAGCGAUACCGCGUGAAGGACGAAGUGCUUCGGCACGUAAACUUCUUUUGUCAGGGACGAAAUUAUUGACGGUACCUGAAGAAUAAGGGGCUCCUAACUCUGUGCCAGCAGGAGCGGUAAUACAGAGGCCCCAAGCAUUAUCCGGAAUCACUGGGCGUAAAGGGUGUCGAGGCGGUCAUGUUAGUCGCUUGUAAAAUCCGUGGGCUCAACCUACGGUCCGCAAGCGAAACGGCAUGACUCGAGGUUUGGAGAGGUGCGUGGAACUCACGGUGUAGGGGGUGAAAUCCGUUGAUAUCGUGGGGAACACCAAAGGCGAAGGCAGCGCACUGGCCAAAAUCUGACGCUCACACACGAAAGCUAGGGUAGCGAACGGGAUUAGAUACCCCGGUAGUCCUAGCCCUAAACGUUGCUCGCUCGUUCUGCGGAGUAUCGACCCUCUGCGGGACUAAGCUAACGCGGUAAGCGAGCCGCCUGGGUAGUACGGUCGCAAGCUUAAAACUCAAAGGAAUUGACGG
Molecule: ribosomal RNA, 865 nt
Filed under: uncultured bacterium
Lineage: Bacteria
Description: bacterial SSU rRNA
Rfam family: Bacterial small subunit ribosomal RNA
Source: RNAcentral